AACGUAGGGACCGAGCGUUAUCCGGAUUUACUGGGCGUAAAGCGCGUUCAGGCGGUUUGGCAAGUCGGGCAUGAAAUCUCUCGGCUCAACCGGGAGAGGUUGUCCGAUACUUCCAGACUUGAGGGCAGUAGAGGGUGGUGGAAUUCCGGGUGUAGUGGUGAAAUGCGUAGAUAUCCGGAGGAACACCAGUGGCGAAAGCGGCCACCUGGACUGCACCUGACGCUGACACGCGAAAGCUAGGGGAGCGAACGGG
RNAcentral lists this ribosomal RNA (253 nucleotides) under uncultured bacterium. RNAcentral describes it as "partial 16S ribosomal RNA". It matches the Rfam family "Bacterial small subunit ribosomal RNA", at positions 524 to 776 of the family's 1533-position model. The record is from RNAcentral.